AGCUUAUCAAGAGAGGUGGAGGGACUGGCCCUGAGAAACCCAGCAACCAGCAGUUAUACUGCCCGGUGCUAACUCCAGCAGGUUUAACCUGAAAGAUAAGCA
Molecule: non-coding RNA, 102 nt
Filed under: Halanaerobium saccharolyticum
Lineage: Bacteria; Bacillati; Bacillota; Clostridia; Halanaerobiales; Halanaerobiaceae
Also listed under: 1 other name
Description: SAM-I sequence
Rfam family: SAM riboswitch aptamer (S box leader)
About the family: The SAM riboswitch is found upstream of a number of genes which code for proteins involved in methionine or cysteine biosynthesis in Gram-positive bacteria. The SAM riboswitch acts at the level of transcription termination control.
Source: RNAcentral